AAUUAUUUAUUUGAUGGUUUCUUACUACAUGGAUAACCGUAGUAAUUCUAGAGCUAAUACAUGCGUAAAGUCCCGACUCUCGCGGGGAGGGAUGUAUUUAUUAGAUUAAAAACCAAUGCGGCCUUUGGUCGGACUUGUGUUGAUUCAUAGUAACUUUUCGGAUCGCUGGGCUUCACGCCGGCGACAGUUCAUUCAAAUUUCUGCCCUAUCAGCUUUCGACGGUAGUGUAGUGGACUACCGUGGCAUUUACGGGUGACGGAGAAUUAGGGUUCGAUUCCGGAGAGGGAGCCUGAGAAACGGCUACCACA
This 308-nucleotide ribosomal RNA is filed under the name uncultured eukaryote. RNAcentral describes it as "SSU rRNA". It matches the Rfam family "Eukaryotic small subunit ribosomal RNA", at positions 111 to 414 of the family's 1831-position model. The record is from RNAcentral.